This 1421-nucleotide ribosomal RNA is filed under the name Curtobacterium sp. RD133. RNAcentral describes it as "bacterial SSU rRNA". It matches the Rfam family "Bacterial small subunit ribosomal RNA". Lineage: Bacteria; Bacillati; Actinomycetota; Actinomycetes; Micrococcales; Microbacteriaceae. The record is from RNAcentral.
UGGGACGUAAGUGAACCUCGAUGCGCCCUGUCGAUCUCAGCACCCUCGCCCGGAAAGUGGCCACCGGGUGAGUAACACGUGAGUAACCUGCCCCUGACUCUGGGAUAAGCGUUGGAAACGACGUCUAAUACUGGAUAUGAUCACUGGCCGCAUGGUCUGGUGGUGGAAAGAUUUUUUGGUUGGGGAUGGACUCGCGGCCUAUCAGCUUGUUGGUGAGGUAAUGGCUCACCAAGGCGACGACGGGUAGCCGGCCUGAGAGGGUGACCGGCCACACUGGGACUGAGACACGGCCCAGACUCCUACGGGAGGCAGCAGUGGGGAAUAUUGCACAAUGGGCGAAAGCCUGAUGCAGCAACGCCGCGUGAGGGAUGACGGCCUUCGGGUUGUAAACCUCUUUUAGUAGGGAAGAAGCGAAAGUGACGGUACCUGCAGAAAAAGCACCGGCUAACUACGUGCCAGCAGCCGCGGUAAUACGUAGGGUGCAAGCGUUGUCCGGAAUUAUUGGGCGUAAAGAGCUCGUAGGCGGUUUGUCGCGUCUGCUGUGAAAUCCCGAGGCUCAACCUCGGGCUUGCAGUGGGUACGGGCAGACUAGAGUGCGGUAGGGGAGAUUGGAAUUCCUGGUGUAGCGGUGGAAUGCGCAGAUAUCAGGAGGAACACCGAUGGCGAAGGCAGAUCUCUGGGCCGUAACUGACGCUGAGGAGCGAAAGCAUGGGGAGCGAACAGGAUUAGAUACCCUGGUAGUCCAUGCCGUAAACGUUGGGCGCUAGAUGUAGGGACCUUUCCACGGUUUCUGUGUCGUAGCUAACGCAUUAAGCGCCCCGCCUGGGGAGUACGGCCGCAAGGCUAAAACUCAAAGGAAUUGACGGGGGCCCGCACAAGCGGCGGAGCAUGCGGAUUAAUUCGAUGCAACGCGAAGAACCUUACCAAGGCUUGACAUACACCGGAAACGGCCAGAGAUGGUCGCCCCCUUGUGGUCGGUGUACAGGUGGUGCAUGGUUGUCGUCAGCUCGUGUCGUGAGAUGUUGGGUUAAGUCCCGCAACGAGCGCAACCCUCGUUCUAUGUUGCCAGCGGGUUAUGCCGGGGACUCAUAGGAGACUGCCGGGGUCAACUCGGAGGAAGGUGGGGAUGACGUCAAAUCAUCAUGCCCCUUAUGUCUUGGGCUUCACGCAUGCUACAAUGGCCGGUACAAAGGGCUGCGAUACCGUAAGGUGGAGCGAAUCCCAAAAAGCCGGUCUCAGUUCGGAUUGAGGUCUGCAACUCGACCUCAUGAAGUCGGAGUCGCUAGUAAUCGCAGAUCAGCAACGCUGCGGUGAAUACGUUCCCGGGCCUUGUACACACCGCCCGUCAAGUCAUGAACGUCGGCCCCGUGGGGUUCCCCUGGCCUCAGCAUGUGGUCGCAGCAUACCGCGAAAGGUUUUAC